CGGACGGGUGAGUAAUGCCUAGGAAUCUGCCUGGUAGUGGGGGACAACGUUUCGAAAGGAACGCUAAUACCGCAUACGUCCUACGGGAGAAAGCAGGGGACCUUCGGGCCUUGCGCUAUCAGAUGAGCCUAGGUCGGAUUAGCUAGUUGGUGAGGUAAUGGCUCACCAAGGCGACGAUCCGUAACUGGUCUGAGAGGAUGAUCAGUCACACUGGAACUGAGACACGGUCCAGACUCCUACGGGAGGCAGCAGAA
RNAcentral lists this ribosomal RNA (254 nucleotides) under uncultured Pseudomonas sp. RNAcentral's name for it is "partial 16S ribosomal RNA". It matches the Rfam family "Bacterial small subunit ribosomal RNA", at positions 99 to 354 of the family's 1533-position model. Lineage: Bacteria; Pseudomonadati; Pseudomonadota; Gammaproteobacteria; Pseudomonadales; Pseudomonadaceae. The record is from RNAcentral.